GCGAUUGCUGACAAAGUGAGUCGAGCGGUGAUAAUGGGUAGAUCGUAAAGACGCUGCAAGUACCUCCCUGUAAGCUCGAGCCGCGCCAUCCCUGGCGCGGACGCUUU
This 107-nucleotide non-coding RNA is filed under the name Pectobacterium atrosepticum SCRI1043. Its description in RNAcentral is "Yersinia sRNA 224". It matches the Rfam family "Yersinia sRNA 224". Lineage: Bacteria; Pseudomonadati; Pseudomonadota; Gammaproteobacteria; Enterobacterales; Pectobacteriaceae. The record is from Rfam by way of RNAcentral.